This 440-nucleotide ribosomal RNA is filed under the name uncultured bacterium. RNAcentral describes it as "partial 16S ribosomal RNA". It matches the Rfam family "Bacterial small subunit ribosomal RNA", at positions 338 to 795 of the family's 1533-position model. The record is from RNAcentral.
CCUACGGGUGGCAGCAGUAGGGAAUAUUGCUCAAUGGGGGAAACCCUGAAGCAGCAACGCCGCGUGGAGGAUGAAGGUUUUCGGAUUGUAAACUCCUUUUGUUAGAGAAGAUAAUGACGGUAUCUAACGAAUAAGCACCGGCUAACUCCGUGCCAGCAGCCGCGGUAAUACGGGAGGUGCAAGCGUUACUCGGAAUCACUGGGCGUAAAGAGCGCGUAGGCGGGAGAGCAAGUCAGAUGUGAAAUCCUAGGGCUUAACCAUAGAACUGCAUUUGAAACUGUUAUUCUAGAGUAUGGGAGAGGUAGGUGGAAUUCUUGGUGUAGGGGUAAAAUCCGUAGAGAUCAAGAGGAAUACUCAUUGCGAAGGCGACCUGCUAGAACAUAACUGACGCUGAUGCGCGAAAGCGUGGGGAGCAAACAGGAUUAGAUACCCUUGUAGUC